GCCGAAGUGGCGGAACUGGUAGACGCGCACGACUCAAAAUCGUGUGUCUUCGGGCAUGAGGGUUCGAGUCCCUCCUUCGGCACUA
RNAcentral lists this transfer RNA (85 nucleotides) under Bacteroidota bacterium. Its description in RNAcentral is "Bacteroidetes bacterium tRNA-Leu". It matches the Rfam family "tRNA". From Rfam's summary of the family: Transfer RNA (tRNA) molecules are approximately 80 nucleotides in length. Their secondary structure includes four short double-helical elements and three loops (D, anti-codon, and T loops). The record is from RNAcentral. Lineage: Bacteria; Pseudomonadati; Bacteroidota.